This 3946-nucleotide long non-coding RNA is filed under the name Sus scrofa (pig). Its description in RNAcentral is "lncRNA (ENSSSCG00045034365.1)". Lineage: Eukaryota; Metazoa; Chordata; Mammalia; Artiodactyla; Suidae. The record is from RNAcentral.
CCUUGAUCAGUAACAUAGUAAAUGACACAUGUGAUUCUGUACUUACAAGGAAGUAGAAAAUAGCAAAUAAAAAUCAUGACUUGGCUCAGAGGGUUGCUAUUGCCUCCGAAGGCGGUAGCCCCCUGAUCUCCACUCUAUUUUUUUUGUCUCCUUUCUUAAAUCUGCGGCACUGCUGACCUUGAGACCUGAGUUGACAAGCAGGUCUCAUCAAGUGGCGCUGAACAGGGACCUGAAGCAGUUCACAGUCUACAAGACUAAUGGACAGGUGCUGACAGACGCGGGGAAUUCUGGCUGAAAAAGCGACAGACUGGAAAGUAACAAGAGAUGAAGAAACCAAAAGAAUAAUCAGGAAAUUGAAUGUAGAACAAUUAAUGCUCAACGAAAAGUGGCUUUUUGUAGUUGUUACUAUCAAAGGUAAGGGUUCCCUUCAAGAUUACCUCACAGAUUUUCCAGGAGGUGAAGAUGAAGACAAGGAGACUGAACAAUGGAUGUGUGUGUGUAACUGUCCCCUGACUCACAAAAGUGCAAUGGAAAGCAAACAAGUGAAGUGAAAGAAUGCAAAGAGGGAGAUGGAACAAAAGCUUGCAGAGAAGUGCCAGUUAACAACUGACUAUAAGAGAAGAAUAAUCUUCUGAGUAAAUACAGAGAAAGAGAGAAAGAGAAGGGGCAGGGAUUUGUAUUGAAGAAGCUUGCUCUGUACUUUGAAACAAACUGAAAGAGAAAAAAUAGUAUUAUUUAUUUAAAAUCACUCCCUGACUUGAAUCAAUUCAGGAUACAAAAUAGUUUGCCUCCCUACUGAUUAUAUCAAUUUUUAAAUUGCAUUUAUUGCUAUUUUUCUUUUAUCUAGAGAUACGUAUUGAGUGUCUGUUAUAUGCCAGAAACUAUUCUCAGGAGAGCAUUGAACAAAACAGAAAAACUCUGCACUCACACAGCUUAAAUUCUAGCUGACAAUAGCUAAACAAACAAGCAAACAUGAUGUCAUAUAGUAUAAGUGCUAUGAAGAAAAAUCAGGUUAGGUACAUGGAAAGUUUUUACUUUCAUAGGGGUAGACAGGGAAACUGACUUACCCCAAGAUUAAUACACACUAAUGGUAGAUUUUUUUUUAACAAUAAAGAUUAACAAAAUGAAAAGCUGAAGUACUUUCUAUUUUAUUACCUAGGGAUAGAUACCUUGUGUUAAUAUUUUUCAUAUGUGUGUAUAUGUAUGUAUUUUUUAACUGGGAUACAUUGCCUUAUUGUUUGAAACAUUUGAUAAGUAUCUUCCAAUAAGAUGAUUCUGCUUUUCCUCACUGUCCUAUUUUAUAAUCCCUACUUAAAAGCAGAGUACACUUCUUGCCUCAUUUUUAGUUUUGAUUUGGUUCAGCCAAUGAAAUGUGAGCAGUAAAGAUUUGUUUUGGUUCUGAGAGAUUCUUGAAGAGUCCUCACCCAUUUCUGCCGGCUCUUUUGCACUAUCUCUCUGCCAUGAGGAUGUCAGAUCCCAAAUACAAGCUUAUUUGUAUACUGGGUCUUGAGGUUAAACCAUCUGGAAUAGAGUCACAAAACAAAUGUUUCUUGUGGAAAUUUUGUUAAUGUAUCAUUAAAACUAGAGAAAUAUAUGCAAAUAUAGUUUAUUUCAGAAGAGAAGUCAUGUAGUAGUGAAUUUCUCACUAAGCAAAAUAGCAUGAUUGGUAUAUUCUUUUCCAACUAUUUUCCCUAUGUUUUAAAUUACAAAUGACAUUUAUAAAAAUUCUAAAACUUAACAGAGAUGGACGAAGUUAAAAGUGAAAUUUCAUAGUACACUUUCCCAAAUCUUGAUAAUCUCAGUUAAUCCCACAGAUAAUACUAUUAAAAAUUUAUAGCAUAUUCAUCUGUGAGUAUAUGACCCUUCUUCCUCUCUCUUCACUUCACACAGUCACACACACUUAUAAAAUAGGAUGGUAGCAUCAGACAUAAUAUUUUUGGAAUUGCUUGUGUGUCUGUGUGUCAGUGUGUGUGUAUUACUGAUUAUGUCAUGGCCACAUUUCCAAAUCAAUACAAAGGUAAAAGCUAUACUUCAUUCCUUUUAGCUGCACUCCAUGGUCUGACUGUAACACAAUUAAUUUAAUUAUAUUAUUAUUCAUGUAAAUGUAGGAUAUAUCUAAAUUUUGUAAUUGCAAACUAAUCUGAAAAAUGAAAUUUUAUGUAUUCUAUUUACUAGUGUUAGAAGAUAGUCCUACAAGUGGACAAGUGCUGUAGAUUUUCUAAAAUACUAUUUUUCUGCUUUCAUAUUAUUCCAUUGCAUAUGUAAUUUAUCUAAAAUGCCAUGUGGAGUUCCUGUCGUAGUGCAGUGGUUAACGAAUCCACCUGGGUCGAUCCCUGGCCUUGCUCAGUGAGUUAAGAAUCUGGCGUUGCUGUGAGUUGUGGUGUAGGUCACAGACGCAGCUCAGAUCCCGUGUUGCUGCGGCUGUGGAGUAGGCCAGUGGCUACAGCUCUGAUUAGACCCCUAGCCUGGGAACCUCCAUAUGCCGCAGGAGCGGCCCUAGAAAAGGCAAAAAGACAAUCAAUAAAUAAAUAAAUAAAUAAAUAAAUAAAUAAAAUGCCAUGUACAUGAUCAUUUACUUUUAUGGAGUUCUCCCCAACAUUUUAGUAGUAUGUAUAAAAUUACAAUGAACAGUCUCAUAUUUUAAUUACAAUGCACAUUCUCAUUAUUUCAUUAGUCAAAUUUCAAAUGUCAGUCAACAUCUUAAUUACAUCAUAAGUCAAUUUCAAAUGUUCAAAAAGAAUGGUAUAAAGUUCUAGAAUUGUGAUCAUCACUGUCAUAUUUUUUAUUACUAUUAGCAUUGGAUGAGAAUAGCUACUUUGGAUAGUUAUUAACACUGAUUAUUACCACCCAUUAAUAUAUAAUGAAUAUGGUUUGAACAUGGUUUACCUAUUUUUAGUUUUGUCAUUAGCAUAAGUAUAAUAUAUUAUCUUUUAAAUGUAGAUAGUAUACACAUUGUGAUGGUAUCUAUUUUCACCCAAGUGAAAGAACUGUAGAAAAAGGACAGAGGGAGUACAUUUUCUUAUACAGGGCUGGAACUGGAGUACACUUCCAUGUAUCAACAGUACACAUGGGAGUUCCCAUUACGGCUCAGCAGAUUAAGAACCUGACAGUCUCCGUGAGGAUGCGUGUUCGAUCCCUGGCCUCGCACAGUGGGUUAAGGAUCUGGCAUUGCUGUAACCUGUGUUGUAGGUCACAGAUUUUGCUCAGAUCUGAUGUUGCCAUGGCUGUGGUAUAGGCUGGCAGCUGCAGCUCCAGUUUGACCCCCACUCUGGAAAUUUCCAUAUGUUGCAGUUGUGGCCAUAAAGAGAAAAAAAGACUAUAAAAAAUUAAAUUUUAAAGUAAAAAAAAAAAAACAGUGCAUGUGGAGCACAAAAUCUCAGUUAUCUUUUUCUGAUGGUUUGGCACAUUUAAAAUAUUUUUUUGGCUUUCUUGAGGUAUAAUUGAUGUAUAACAGACUGUACAUAUUUAAGCAUCCAAUCUGAUAAGUUGUGACAUUUGUAUAAAAUCAAGUAACCAUCACAAUGUUCAAAAUAACAAACAUUUCUAUUAUCUUCAAAGUUUCUUUUUGCCCUUUCAUAAUCCAAUCUUCAUCCUCUACAUUCCCUAGGAAAAUAUUCUUUUGCUUUCUAUCACCCUAGAUUUGUUUCCAAUAUCUAGAUUUUUAUAAAAAUUGAAUAGUAUACUAUCCACUCUUUUUUGGUCUGGUUUAUUCCAUUCCUUGUAAUUAUUUUGAGAUCCAUUCAAAUGAUUGGAUGUAGUAAUAUUUUGUUCCUUGUUCUUAUUAAAUAUGAAUAAAACACAAUUUGUUUAGCCAUUCAUUGAUUAAUGGACAUUUGGGUUGUUUUCAGCUUUAGCUAUUAAUACAAAUAAAGUUGCUGUGAACACAUGUACAAAUAUUUUUGUGGUUGUAUUUUUCAUUCACUCAGAGUAAAUAUCUAAUAGUUGG